This 253-nucleotide ribosomal RNA is filed under the name uncultured prokaryote. Its description in RNAcentral is "partial 16S ribosomal RNA". It matches the Rfam family "Bacterial small subunit ribosomal RNA", at positions 525 to 777 of the family's 1533-position model. The record is from RNAcentral.
ACAGAGGUCUCAAGCGUUGUUCGGAAUCACUGGGCGUAAAGGGUGCGUAGGUGGCGUGGAAAGUCAGAUGUGAAAUCCGGGGGCUCAACCUCCGAAUAGCAUCCGAUACUCCCAUGCUAGAGAACUGGAGGGGGAUCUGGAAUUCUCGGUGUAGCAGUGAAAUGCGUAGAUAUCGAGAGGAACACUAGUGGCGAAGGCGAGAUCCUGGACAGUUUCUGACACUGAUGCACGAAGGCCAGGGGAGCGAACGGGA